UGUACAAUAACAAUUAACCUGUUUAGGUGAAAUCAAAUAGAGAGAUAUUACAUGCUAUUUGUAUUAUUCAUGUGAAAUCAAAUAGAUAUAUACGUGGAUAAAAAAAUUUUAUUCAUAUACAUGGUCAAUGAAGGAUAAAAAAAUUCAUUUUAUGAAAUAUGAGGGAUGAAAAAAUUUAUUUUGUAAAAUGUGAGGAAAGAAAAAAUUUAUUUUGCGAAAUGUGAGGGAUUCUAGUUUAGAUUAUGUAAAAUUUGACAAUUUUGCCCCUUAAAAAUAAUCACGUGCAACGUACGUGGUGGAUUCUGACUACAAACUAGUCGGAAAUCUAGGUAGGGACCAAAUUUAAUCAAUGUGAAUUUAUAAGGAACGUAAAAUUACACUUUUAAAAGUGAAGGAUGGAAAAAGUUAUUUUGCAAAAUGUAAGAAAUGUUUUGAAUGAUUUUCCCUUUUUUUAAUAACAAAAAUCUGGUAGUAGCUAUUUUCGUUUUUUUUUUCCCUUUUGUCUUUCUUGAAGUUAUGAUUAGCGCCAAUUGUCAAACAAUUAUUCAUUUUGGUCUCCGUUAUUUUACGGUACAAAGUUCAAAUGUUCCCCAAAGUGCCUCGAGCAAGCAAACAAGAUAAUUAGAAGAGAAAAUUGCACCAAUUGUUUCUUACAUAUUAUUGAUAUGAAAUUUUAGUCCCUUAAAAUCAAAAUGAGCGAGUUUAGCUUUUAAUAAAUUGGAAAAAAAAAACCCUCUCUUUUGAUCCCUCGUUACCUUUCCUACCAAAUAUUUGCCAAAAUAUGUCACGAACCAAUCAUAUGAUCAAUUUUCGAAAGACAAAUUUGGUAACUCAUUUAAUAUUGGACCGAUUUCUCAUUUGAUCUACCAUUUUUCCUAAUUAUUCUUUGCCCAAAUCCUAAUUUUACAAACUCAAAUCCUGAUCACUUAUUUUCCUCUUUCACCGUCAUCCACUCAUACCAUUCCCAUUUCCACCAUUGCCAUCUGACCUCUCACCCCUCACUUGCCACCUCUUUCACCUCUCCUUCCUUUCUCCUCUUCUUUCCCCUAUGUUAUGGGCCUUGUAAAUAGGUCUAUUUUGUUUUCUCCCUCUAUUUUUUAAAAACCAUGAAAAUGGGUUUUCUAAAGUUUCAAACAUUUGUUAUAAUUUUGUUGAUUCUUGAGGUUAUAUGGCUAAUUUUGGGGUUUUACUGAAGUUGUAUAUUUCAUAUGGGUCGUUUUGCUAAAAAUUCAAUUUUUUGUAAUGUUUUGAUGGAAAAAAGUAAAAAGAAAC
RNAcentral lists this long non-coding RNA (1272 nucleotides) under Coffea arabica (coffee). Its description in RNAcentral is "long non-coding RNA (CARA_LNC006268)". Lineage: Eukaryota; Viridiplantae; Streptophyta; Magnoliopsida; Gentianales; Rubiaceae. The record is from RNAcentral.